GGUCAUGUGGCCUAGUGGUCAUGGCAUCUGCCCAGUAAGCGGAAGGUCGUGGGUUCGAUUCCCAUCCCUUGACACU
Molecule: non-coding RNA, 76 nt
Organism: Cordylochernes scorpioides
Lineage: Eukaryota; Metazoa; Arthropoda; Arachnida; Pseudoscorpiones; Chernetidae
Source: the annotation of a GenBank genome assembly